AUUGAACGCUGGCGGCAGGCCUAACACAUGCAAGUCGAGCGGAUGAAGGGAGCUUGCUCCUGGAUUCAGCGGCGGACGGGUGAGUAAUGCCUAGGAAUCUGCCUGGUAGUGGGGGAUAACGUCCGGAAACGGGCGCUAAUACCGCAUACGUCCUGAGGGAGAAAGUGGGGGAUCUUCGGACCUCACGCUAUCAGAUGAGCCUAGGUCGGAUUAGCUAGUUGGUGGGGUAAAGGCCUACCAAGGCGACGAUCCGUAACUGGUCUGAGAGGAUGAUCAGUCACACUGGAACUGAGACACGGUCCAGACCCCUACGGGAGGCAGCAGUGGGGAAUAUUGGACAAUGGGCGAGAGCCUGAUCCAGCCAUGCCGCGUGUGUGAAGAAGGUCUUCGGAUUGUAAAGCACUUUAAGUUGGGAGGAAGGGCAGUAAGUUAAUACCUUGCUGUUUUGACGUUACCAACAGAAUAAGCACCGGCUAACUUCGU
This 483-nucleotide ribosomal RNA is filed under the name uncultured bacterium. RNAcentral describes it as "partial 16S ribosomal RNA". It matches the Rfam family "Bacterial small subunit ribosomal RNA", at positions 30 to 506 of the family's 1533-position model. The record is from RNAcentral.